UACAGAGGGGGCAAGCGUUGUUCGGAAUUACUGGGCGUAAAGGGUUCGUAGGUGGCCAACUAAGUCAGACGUGAAAUCCCUCAGCUCAACUGGGGAACUGCGUCUGAUACUGGUUGGCUUGAGUGCAGGAGAGGAACGCGGAAUUCCAGGUGUAGCGGUGAAAUGCGUAGAUAUCUGGAGGAACACCGGUGGCGAAGGCGGCGUUCUGGACUGCAACUGACACUGAGGAACGAAAGCCAGGGGAGCAAACGGG
RNAcentral lists this ribosomal RNA (253 nucleotides) under uncultured bacterium. RNAcentral describes it as "partial 16S ribosomal RNA". It matches the Rfam family "Bacterial small subunit ribosomal RNA", at positions 524 to 776 of the family's 1533-position model. The record is from RNAcentral.